CUAGUACUCCCUCCGUUCCGAAUUACUUGUCUUGGAUUUGUCUAGAUACGGAUGUAUCCGUUCCGAAUUACUUCUCUUGGAUUUGUCUAGAUACGGAUGUAUCUAGACUCAUUUUAGUGCUAGAUACCUCCGUAUCUAGACAAAUCUAAGACAAGUAAUUCGGAACGGAGGGAGUAACAA
Molecule: non-coding RNA, 180 nt
Organism: Triticum aestivum (bread wheat)
Lineage: Eukaryota; Viridiplantae; Streptophyta; Magnoliopsida; Poales; Poaceae
Source: Rfam